This 7443-nucleotide long non-coding RNA is filed under the name Prunus persica (peach). RNAcentral's name for it is "long non-coding RNA (PPER_LNC002725)". The record is from RNAcentral. Lineage: Eukaryota; Viridiplantae; Streptophyta; Magnoliopsida; Rosales; Rosaceae.
UCGAAUUAAUUUUUUCAAUAGCUAUCAAAACCUAAAAGUUUCAAUGUAUGGCUUGAAAAUUUUUCAUUGUGAUGUUCAUGUCAAACUUUGAUCAACAUUUUUCUUGUUUGUGGUGGCUGUGGGCUAUAGGACCAUAACAAUAAGUUCGUUCUUACCGAUACAGGGGAGAGGAGAAAUUGGUAGUAAACUAAUGACUGAAACUUAUGAGUUAACAGAAGAAUGCUUGCAAAUAAACUAUUAUGGUGCUAAAAGAACAGCUGAAGCACUUAUCCCACUCCUCCAGUUAUCUGACUCACCGAGAAUUGUUAACGUUUCGUCUUUCCUGGGGAAGUUAAUGCAUAUACCAAGCGAUUGGGCUAGAGGAGUUUUUACUGAUGCUGAAAACCUAACAGAAGAGAGAGUAGAUGAGGUACUGACCGAGCUUCUAAAAGAUUUCAAGGAGGGUUCACUUGAAAGUAAGGGCUGGCCUUCUCCUUCGUCUGCCUAUGUAGUCUCGAAAGCUGCACUGAACGCAUAUACAAGGAUUCUAGCAAAGAAGUACCCCACUUUUCGUAUCAAUUCGUUAUGCCCUGGCUUUGUCAAAACAGAUAUAAACUACAAUGCCGGUGUCCUACCUGUCAAAGAUGGGGCUGCAAGGGUUAUGAAGUUAGCAUUGCUGCCCAAUGAUGGCCCUUCUGGCUCCUUCUUUGUUCACUAUGAAGUGUCAGAUUUUUAAUUGAAGAUGAUUGUUGUGAAAUUUAUUGCAAGCGCACAAUUCGCACAAGUAAUACAGUGAUGAGUGAAGUGUCGUUCCCACGAAGAGUGAUUUAAUUUACUAAGUACCGAUUGUGAGAAAAAUAAAAGCAAGCGUAGAGAAAUAAAGUAGUGAGAUUCAAGUUAUGAGAGCACUAGAGCUUCCGAUUUCACCAUAGCCAAUUUUACCCAAUUCCCUUAGCAUGUUAAUCCUAAUUAUUCUCUAUGUAGACAGUUGAUUUUCCCUACUUUAUUCGAUACUCCAUCCCUGGUUAUAUCAAAAGUAUUCUUAUUACCAACCCACUCUAUCCCUAGUAAUGGAAUUAAGAUAAUAAGAACCCAUUAAAUUCCUUGGAAACCCUACAAAACAACCACAUAAGUCACGACAAACAUCCAUGUCUAAUCAUGUAACUCAUGGCAUCUAUUACAAGAAGCAACCCCAAAUUGGAUAUCCCUGUCGUCAAUUUAGCAUCAAAACAAUUAAAUGUUGGCCAAACAUUCAAAGCAUUAAGCAUGGUACUCAACAUGGAAAAAUACUUGGAAUUAACAUUGACUAAAGUAAUUGAGUAUUCAUGGCUAGGCUACAUCGUAGCACUGGUAAGAAGAAAUUAGUUCAUGAAAACUUUAAUAAAAACCAUGAUAAAUAGUAUCAUAGGAAAGAAAAAAACCAAUUGAAGAUUUGAUCUCUGCACGACACCAACUCUAGCUCCAGGUCGUCUUCUUUGUCUCUCUAAAACUCUCUCUCCUUUGAGUGUUUCGGCUAUAAGUAUGAAUGUGUAGGAAUUUGUGAGGCUAGAUGAUGGAGGAUGGUGGGUAAUGGAUUCUUUGAACAAUGACCUAAACUCCCUAUUUAUAAAACUCUUAGGAAUCCUACCUAAUGAAUAAUUACAAUUGUUAUAAAAAUAGGAUUCCUUCUAAUAUAAGGUCUUCUUUAUUCCUCCUUGUUUGACUUGAUAAGACUUGAACCAUCUUGAACUAAGAAAUUUGACAACAUUCCUUGCAACAAAAGGAAUGACUUGGCUUCUUUUUAAUUGAUCUCCAAUCUUCAUCUUCUUGCCUUUUUUUAGCACACUUUCUCCUAUUUCAUAAUUCCUUCACAAAUCUCACAAAACCAAUUAAAAACAACUAAUUUAAUCCAAGAAAUUAAUAAAUAAAUAAGCAAAUGAGGCAUAAAAUAUAUAUAUAUAAAAUAUAGACUUAUCAAUGAUCCAUUUAUGCAAAUUAAAUACAUGUAAUGUAUUUGGCAGGAUCUUUAACUUUUAAUGUAACAAAGUAUAUUUGUGACAGGACCCGCCCCGAAUUUUCCGAAAUUCUAGAUGAAUCCUGUGGAAUUCCCGACAUCACCCCGAUGCCGAGCCCACUUACUAAGGACCGGGACUUUCUGCCGAAAUUUCAGCAGAGUCUCCCUUGUAAAUUGAUCAUUCCCCAAAUUUUUUAACCUGUAUAAAACACAUUUGAUAUCCACAACUGGCAGCAUGCACAAGAUAAUUUCAUGCAAAUCACAUAAUCGGCCUCCGGCCUUCAAAUAAUUCGAAACUAAACCACCAACAAACUCUAAACACAAUUAUGAACGCCAAAUGCGAUUUCCAUCAUCUAAAUUCCCAAAUAUUGAACGUACAAAAUUAAACCUCCUAACAAGACUACAUCUCAUUUUCACCUAAAUUUCAGGACCAACAAGAAAGUCCAAACCAAUCUUCAUCACACAACAUGAGUAAAGUUUAGCCCGCGGCUGUACCUAGGCACUACCCUAGGCUGCCUACGUACCCUUACUAAGGGAUCAAGCCACACGUAGUUCUUUCCAUACAAAAUUUCCAAAUCCAUCAACAUGCAAUCAAUUCUAGAAAUCCCCGCCCGAAAAUCCUACGCCACGUGUGACUUAACCAUCAUGUCAUCUCCCCAUACGCCGGAAAUUCCAACGCCACGUAUGGGAUUUGUCUUAACGUCGGAAAAUCCUACGACAAGCGAGACCUAACAAUCACAUAAUCUCCCCAUAUGCCGGAAAUUCCAACGCCACAUAUGGGGUCUGUUAGCACGCCGGAUAACCUAUGCCACGUGUGACCUAACAAUCAUAGCAUCUCCCCAUACGCCAGAAAUUCCAACGCCAUGUAUGGGGUCUGUCCUCACGCCGGAUAACCUACGCCACGUGGGACCUAACAAUCACAUAAUCUCCUCAUAUGCCGAAAAUUACAACGCCACAUAUGGGGUCUGUCAGCAUGCCGGAUAACCUACGCCACGUGUGACCUAACAAUCAUAGCAUCUCCUCAUACGCGCGGAAAUUCCAACGCCACAUAUGGGGUUUGUCCUUACGCUGGAUAACCUACGUCACGUGGGACCUAACAAUCACAGGGUAAUACUUAGGGUAGUGUGUAUAGCACUUCAAACUGACAUACUCUCAAUUAUCUAAACUAAUACUAGAGGUAUUCCCACUUUAGUGAUACCAGUCUAUAGUAGACUGCAACGUAAUUUAAUCAGGAAAGUAAUAUUAUUUUUAGACCAAUGAUCAUGCACAUAAACAUAAAUUUCAUAAUUUCAAUUAUUAAAACAAUAUCUAAGAGUUUCCUACAAUAAUAAUAAACACUCUAAAAAAUCUCAACCUAGUCAACAUAGCUCAACAACGCUCAAGACCUGUCACUAGGGUCAUUAUAAUCCUUCUAGGAAGGUAAAACUACCUCCGAAGACUCACGGUCAACCAAGGGUCAAACUACCCAAACUUGGUCAAAUGGGCCCACGGGGCCCAUGACCUCCAAAUUCCGAUCCUAAAGUUCCUAUGUGUUCUACAAGGCUUAUGACACAUGUUCUGCAAUCUGGACCAAACUUGCAGAACGUCCGGGGUUCCGAUUCACACAUAAACUUUAAGUUAUUAAAUCGGAACAUCCGGGGCUCCGAUUCACGAUCCAUGAAUUCCUACACGAUCCUAGAAAUUCCUAGGUUAACACAUAUCAAAUUCGAGACCAUCCAAAGGUCCAAACCUAUCGAGCCCGGAUAACACGCAAUAGGCGAUAUCCGUUCGAGACUCAAACGGUAUCCAAAUUGAAAUCCGAGCACACCUACGCACUCGUGAGGACCGGGAGAUUACAUCGGGAUAUAGUGCCCUUUUUCUACAGUGCCCACUCGCCGCCGCACGCGCCGGCAGCGCGUGGGUGCCCAAAGCGAUUACGCAUCGCUGAAAAAUCCCAAAACCACGGCUCCAAACUCCUACCCUAGGUAUAUUUGGAACCACUUUUGUUCUGGACCUACCCCAAAAACUGACCGGAAGUGGCCGGAAUCGCGAUCCCAAAAUCGGCCGAACCCUAAAUCCAAAAUCGAACGACUUAGGCUAAAAAUAAAUGUAAUCCUGCCCAACCAUCAGCUAGAGCAUGGAACAUAGGUAGAAAUCCAUGCCUUACUCGUCAAAUUUGGAGGAAAAAUGAGGGAGAACUAACGGUUUGAAAAUCUGUGAAAACCGACUCGUUUUCUGCAGAUUCCGGCGGCUAGAGUGGCUAACGGAGGCAGAGACCGGGUGGGAUGAGAAGAGGAGGAGGUGGCAGUUCGAACAAGACUGGUCUCGAGGCCGGUUGUUGACGAUGGCGACGGCAGUGGCUCUUGGAAGCCACGGCUGUGCAGAAAACAGAAGGUAGGAAGGUCACUACGCGCGCAGGGAGAGAGAGAGAGAGAGAGAGAGAGAGAGAGAGAGAGAGAGAGAGAGAGAGAGAGAGAGAGAGAGAGAGAGAGAGAAAAUCUGGUUUUUAAAAACCAACUUCAAAAUAUUUACAGUUUUGCCACUGAGCUUGUUUUGCUCGUAACUUCUUCGUUACAACUCCAAAUCGAGUCCACCACAUGUCUACGGACUGACCUCACCGUGCUCUACGCAACGGUAUAGUCGAAAUUCUCAAAUUCCUUCCCGGUCAAAAAGUAAACUUUAGACCUAAUAAAAUAUUUUAGGGGCAAAAUGGUAUUUUCUUUGAAUAAAUUAGUAUUUACUAAUUUAUUUAGGACCGGGUCGAUACAAUUUGGACCCAGCAACAGAUCCUUUUUAAGUUCUUUCUACAUUCAACAUGACUCGAGGAUGGCAUAGAUUCAAUAGUCCUGUAUGAUUGCAUCUCUAAUACAUUGCUUGUUUACAUUUCUACUUAUCAACUGACUCUUGAACCCAUAUUAUCAUUUACAUUAUUAUAAUCAGAAAUUCUAUGUGAUUGGUGUCCAUCCUUUGAUCAAAAUGAUCAAUAUCAUUUCGGUAUAUACUUCUUAUGGACAUGUUGACAACAAUUAUAUUAACAUGUUAUUGACAAUCCGUUAUUAAUUAAGAAAUGACAUAGGUGUACAGAAGAAUUGAACAUUCAAUUGUUUGUUUAAUAAAGAAAAAGACAACAUGAGUCUCUUUAACAAUCAUGUUUUUGGAUUGGAGCAGCCUAAUUCACCAAUGAUCAUGCACAUAAACAUAAAUUUCAUAAUUUGAACAACUUGGGCACUUGCGUCACUAUCCCCCUCUUUUUCCUUAAUACUCCGAAACAAAAAUCCGAGCAAAUGUUGGUCCAUCUGUCCCAUUCAAUGACUUCUAGAAAGCAUUAUAGGAACAAACGAAUCGAUUUGAAUAUAAUACUCAAAAUACAAAAGCUUCCCAACAACUUCACGUUAUAAAAGAAAAUAAAGAUCCUUCUGUUUAGUCUCAUUUCUUACCCCUGCUUUUUUCCGAGAAAGAUACAUUUAGGCUUUUAUUAUCUUCUUAUUCAUUCAUAUCGUGGAUGUAGACAUUGCUUGUCACGUGCGUGCGUACGUCUCCAUAAUUGACUUGAGGCUAGCUUUUCAAUUACUCAUGUAGAAUUUUUUUUUUUCAAGUGCCCAUAGAGAUAAGACUUCCAUAUAUGGGGCUCACCUCAAUUAAAAAUGUAGUUAGUAAAGUGGUACACGAUUGUUUUUAUAUAUGCUCAGAUAUUUAAUUUUACAAAAAUAAUGCAUCCAACUAACUCAACCAAAAAAGUUGCAUCCAAUUAAUUAUGUUCUUAGAAUAUCGAUACAAAAUAAAUUAGGUGUUAAAAAGAUAUUUAUUUUUGCAAAAAUAAUGCAUCCAACUAACUCAACUAAAAAAGUUGCAUCCAAUUAAUGAUGUUCUUGGAAUAUUGAUACAAAAUAAAUUAGGUGUUACAAAGAUAUUUAUUUUUGCAAAAAUAAUGCAUCCAACUAACUCAACCAAAAAAGUUGCAUCCAAUUAAUGUUGUUCUUGGAAUAUUGAUACAAAAUAAAUUAGGUGUUAAAAAAUAUUUAAUAUCUAAAUAUGAUCUAUUACGACUUAUCGUCACAAUCAUGGUAAUUAUUCAAAAGGUGUAACAUCCCUUAUACAAUUUAAUCGAUUUAAUCAAAUUUAAUUCUUUUGUGAAAUUUCAAUUUUGCCCUUGGGAGUAGGGGUACUUUGGUCACUUUAAGAAAAAAAAAACAUUUAUUGUAUGGUAUUACGUAAUGAUGUAAGUUUGUGUUAUUUUAUGUGAGGCCCCAAUUUAAGGUUAGCACAGGGCCCUCAAAAUCUCAAGACCGGCCCUGGGCCCCGUUGGGGAAGCCCUUGUGAACAUGUUGUUGAAAGGGCUCUCUGGUCUGUCAACGUGUGCAGUUGCGUCACUACCUUCAUCCUUUUCCUUAACACUCCAAGCAAAUGUUGUUCCGUCUUUCCCAUUCAAUGACUUCUAGAAAACAUUACAGGCAGGCACUCUUUUCUUUCUCCAGAAUAGGAACAAACGGCUUUUCAAGAACAUUUUACUAUAAAACAAAAGAAGCCUCCUUCUGUUUAGUCUCAUUUCUCACAGACCGUCCCAUAUCGAAUCAUCAAUAUGGCAGAAGCACCAAAGAGGUAGCACUUUAGAGUCCUUUAUGCUUUGGUUCCUUGUCACACCUCCAUUCCCUCUCAUUGUUUCUGCUUAUCAUUUUUGUGUCAUGAAUUUGGUGUUUUUGUUUUUUCCAGGUAUGCAGUUGUUACUGGGGCAAACAAAGGCAUAGGAUUGGAAACUGUGAGGCAAUUGGCCUCAAAUGGAUUCACUGUAGUCUUAACUGCCAGAGAUGAGAAAAGGGGUCUUGAAGCUGCUGAGAAACUCAAAGAGUCUGGCCUCUCAGGUCAAGUGGUUUUUCAUCAACUUGAUGUGGCUAACCCUGCUACUGUUGCUUCCUUGGCAGAGUUCAUCAAAACCCAGUUUGGGAAACUCGAUAUCUUGGUAUGUGGAAGAUUUUACUUUCAAAUCUAACUAUAUGAUAUGAACCCUCUGUACAAUUUACAGGUACCCUAGAAAGAUCAGUGGCUGGAGUUAAGGGAUUUGGCAAUGCCUUGAUGGUUGGUUAUAGAACCAAAUAGAUUAUCGAAGUAACCCGAGGAUCUACCAACUUUCUUUUAAUUGCAUUUUCUACAUUUUUCUUUUCUUUUCUAAAUUAAAAUAGAUAGUGAGACAGUUGGCUCUGCACAGGUGAACAAUGCAGGGAUUGGUGGAGCCAUAGGAGAUGCUGAUGGCUAUAUAGCUUUAGUAAAGUCUUUGGAAAUGGUAAGUCUUUCGAAUUAAUUUUUUCAAUAGCUAUCAAAACCUAAAAGGUUCAAUGUGUGGCUAUAAUGUGGAUUUGGGAGUGUGCUAUUUUGCCUCUGCGCCUAUCUGGAUUAGCUCCUUCUUGAUUGAUGAUAUGUUAGGGGUUGUUAGAACCCUUUAGUUUGUGCUGACAGUUUGUAGUCUGUUUGUUUUGGGGUUUGAUCCCCCACUAGUU